This is a long non-coding RNA of Oncorhynchus tshawytscha (Chinook salmon), 337 nucleotides long. The record is from Ensembl. NCBI's taxonomy places the organism in Eukaryota, Metazoa, Chordata, Actinopteri, Salmoniformes, Salmonidae.
CCCCAGGUUAUUCUCCUCCUCUCCCCUGUAACUAUUCCCCAGGUUAUUCCCCUCUCCUCUCCCCUGUAACUAUUCCCCAGGUUAUUCUCCUCUCCUCUGUAACUAUUCCCCAGGUUAUUCCUCUGUAACUAUUCCCCAGGUUAUUCUCCUCUCCUCUGUAACUAUUCCCCAGGUUAUUCCCUCCUCCUCUCCUCUGUAACUAUUCCCCAGGUUAUUCUCCUCCUCUCUUCUGUAACUAUUCCCCAGGUUAUUCCCCCCUCCUCUCCUCUGUAACUAUUCCCCAGGUUAUUCCACCUCCUCUCCCCUGUAACUAUUCCCCAGGUUAUUCCACUCUCCU